Molecule: ribosomal RNA, 253 nt
Filed under: uncultured bacterium
Lineage: Bacteria
Description: partial 16S ribosomal RNA
Rfam family: Bacterial small subunit ribosomal RNA
Source: RNAcentral
UACGAAGGGGGCUAGCGUUGUUCGGAAUCACUGGGCGUAAAGGGCGCGUAGGCGGCUUUAUAAGUCGGGGGUGAAAGCCUGUGGCUCAACCACAGAAUUGCCUUCGAUACUGUAGAGCUUGAGACCGGAAGAGGUAAGUGGAACUGCGAAUGUAGAGGUGAAAUUCGUAGAUAUUCGCAAGAACACCAGUGGCGAAGGCGGGUUACUGGUCCGGUUCUGACGCUGAGGCGCGAAAGCUAGGGGAGCAAACGGG